This 449-nucleotide ribosomal RNA is filed under the name uncultured bacterium. RNAcentral's name for it is "partial 16S ribosomal RNA". It matches the Rfam family "Bacterial small subunit ribosomal RNA", at positions 29 to 523 of the family's 1533-position model. The record is from RNAcentral.
AACGAACGCUGGCGGCAUGCCUAACACAUGCAAGUCGAACGAGAACUUCGGGUCUAGUGGCGCACGGGUGCGUAACGCGUGGGAAUCUGCCCUUUGGUUCGGAAUAACAGUUGGAAACGACUGCUAAUACCGGAUGAUGACGAAGGUCCAAAGAUUUAUCGCCAGAGGAUGAGCCCGCGUAGGAUUAGCUAGUUGGUGUGGUAAAGGCGCACCAAGGCGACGAUCCUUAGCUGGUCUGAGAGGAUGAUCAGCCACACUGGGACUGAGACACGGCCCAGACGCCUACGGGAGGCAGCAGUGGGGAAUAUUGGACAAUGGGCGAAAGCCUGAUCCAGCAAUGCCGCGUGAGUGAUGAAGGCCUUAGGGUUGUAAAGCUCUUUUACCCGGGAUGAUAAUGACAGUACCGGGAGAAUAAGCUCCGGCUAACUCCGUGCCAGCAGCCGCCGUAA